This 429-nucleotide ribosomal RNA is filed under the name uncultured bacterium. Its description in RNAcentral is "bacterial SSU rRNA". It matches the Rfam family "Bacterial small subunit ribosomal RNA", at positions 355 to 775 of the family's 1533-position model. The record is from RNAcentral.
UGGGGAAUCUUGCACAAUGGGCGAAAGCCUGAUGCAGCAAUGCCGCGUGAGUGAUGAAGGCCUUCGGGUUGUAAAUCUCUGUCGGGUGGGAAAAACGUGUUCAUGGCUAAUAUUCAUGGACAGUGAUGGUACCACCAAAGGAAGAGGCGGCUAAUUCUGUGCCAGCAGCCGCGGUAAUACAGAAGCCUCGAGCGUUGUUCGGAAUUACUGGGCGUAAAGGGAAUGUAGGUGGUGACGUAAGUCAGAUGUGAAAGCCCCGGGCUUAACCUGGGAAGUGCAUUUGAUACUGCGUCGCUGGAGUGCGAGAGAGGAAAGUGGAAUUCCCGGUGUAGGGGUGAAAUCCGUAGAUAUCGGGAGGAAUACCAAUGGCGAAGGCAGCUUUCUGGCUCGUAACUGACACUGAGAUUCGAAAGCAUGGGUAGCAAACAG